RNAcentral lists this unclassified non-coding RNA (270 nucleotides) under Pestalotiopsis sp. RNAcentral describes it as "partial contains small subunit ribosomal RNA, internal transcribed spacer 1, and 5.8S ribosomal RNA". The stretch from base 1 to 46 matches the Rfam family "Eukaryotic small subunit ribosomal RNA", at positions 1786 to 1831 of the family's 1831-position model. The record is from RNAcentral. Lineage: Eukaryota; Fungi; Ascomycota; Sordariomycetes; Amphisphaeriales; Sporocadaceae. RNAcentral also lists the same sequence under 3 other names.
AAGUCGUAACAAGGUCUCCGUUGGUGAACCAGCGGAGGGAUCAUUAUAGAGUUUUCUAAACUCCCAACCCAUGUGAACUUACCAUUGUUGCCUCGGCAGAAGCUGCUCGGUGCACCCUACCUUGGAACGGCCUACCCUGUAGCGCCUUACCCUGGAACGGCUUACCCUGUAACGGCUGCCGGUGGACUACCAAACUCUUGUUAUUUUAUUGUAAUCUGAGCGUCUUAUUUUAAUAAGUCAAAACUUUCAACAACGGAUCUCUUGGUUCUG